GAUGAGAACGUAGCGAAAUGCGAUAAGUAAUGUGAAUUGCAGAAUUCAGUGAAUCAUCGAGUCUUUGAACGCACAUUGCGCCCCCUGGUAUUCCGGGGGGCAUGCCUGUCCGAGCGUCAUUGCUGCCCUCAAGCACGGCUUGUGUGUUGGGCCCCGCCCCCCGGCUCCCGGGGGGCGGGCCCGAAAGGCAGCGGCGGCACCGCGUCCGGUCCUCGAGCGUAUGGGGCUUCGUCACCCGCUCCGUAGGCCCGGCCGGCGCCCGCCGGCGACCCCCCUCAAUCUUUUCAGGUUGACCUCGGAUCAGGUAGGGAUACCCGCUGAACUUAAGCAUAUCAAUAAGCGGAGGA
RNAcentral lists this unclassified non-coding RNA (347 nucleotides) under soil metagenome. RNAcentral describes it as "partial contains 5.8S ribosomal RNA, internal transcribed spacer 2, and large subunit ribosomal RNA". The stretch from base 5 to 119 matches the Rfam family "5.8S ribosomal RNA", at positions 40 to 154 of the family's 154-position model. The record is from RNAcentral.